RNAcentral lists this transfer RNA (98 nucleotides) under Paraburkholderia graminis C4D1M. Its description in RNAcentral is "tRNA-Arg". Lineage: Bacteria; Pseudomonadati; Pseudomonadota; Betaproteobacteria; Burkholderiales; Burkholderiaceae. The record is from RNAcentral.
GAGGCGCUCGUGCAUGCGGCGAAUGCCCUUGUUGCUGCGGCCAACAGGGAUCCCAGUUUUGCCGGCGUCUUCACCCUGUUCAAUGCGGGGUCGCCAUC